GACGAACGCUGGCGGCGUGCCUAAUACAUGCAAGUAGAACGCUGAAGGAGGAGCUUGCUCUUCUGGAUGAGUUGCGAACGGGUGAGUAACGCGUAGGUAACCUGCCUGGUAGCGGGGGAUAACUAUUGGAAACGAUAGCUAAUACCGCAUAACAGUAGAUGUUGCAUGACAUUUGCUUAAAAGGUGCAAUUGCACCACUACCAGAUGGACCUGCGUUGUAUUAGCUAGUUGGUGGGGUAACGGCUCACCAAGGCGACGAUACAUAGCCGACCUGAGAGGGGGGUCGGCCAAACUGGGAAUGAGACACGGCCCAGACUCCUACGGGAGGCAGCAGUAGGGAAUCUUCGGCAAUGGACGGAAGUCUGACCGAGCAACGCCGCGUGAGUGAAGAAGGUUUUCGGAUCGUAAAGCUCUGUUGUAAGAGAAGAACGAGUGUGAGAGUGGAAAGUUCACACUGUGACGGUAUCUUACCAGAAAGGGACGGCUAACUACGUG
This 495-nucleotide ribosomal RNA is filed under the name uncultured bacterium. RNAcentral's name for it is "partial 16S ribosomal RNA". It matches the Rfam family "Bacterial small subunit ribosomal RNA", at positions 28 to 507 of the family's 1533-position model. The record is from RNAcentral.